AACUGGCCUGCAAAGUCCCGC
Molecule: microRNA, 21 nt
Filed under: Callorhinchus milii (elephant shark)
Lineage: Eukaryota; Metazoa; Chordata; Chondrichthyes; Chimaeriformes; Callorhinchidae
Description: eshark_mir-193_2
Source: RNAcentral